UCCGUUGGUCAUCCAGAGUGACAACGGACCCCCUUUCCAAAGCGAGAAAUUCGUGAAAACCUGGGAGAAUAGGGGAAUUAGAAUCCGGAAAUCCAUCCCUUUAAGUCCUCAAUCUAAUGGUGCCAUUGAGCGCCAGAAUCAGGGCAUUAAAAAGGUCUUUGCUGCUUCGAAACUGGACAAUACCAAUUGGAGAACCGCUCUUGAAAAUUAUGUUCACGCUCACAAUAAAAUACGGCCCCUGUCACGUCUCGGAGUGACACCCUUUGAACUCCUAGUAGGGUGGAAAUGGAGAGGAUUUUUUCCAUGUCUCUGGGAAUCCAAAUGGUGCGACGAUACUGACCGUGAAGAGAUUAAGGAAAAAGAUGCAUUUGCAAAGCUAGAGAGCAAGAGGUACACCGAUAUGCUACGAGGUGCUAAGGAUUCUGAUUUAGCUGUAGGAGACAAGGUUGUAUUAACCCAGCAGAAGCGAUGCAAAUCAGAUCCCACUUUCGGUUCGGAAAAAUUUACAAUUUUGGCCAGAGACGGAGCAAAAAUUGUCGUCCGCAGUGAAAGAGGGGUACACUAUUCUCGUAAUGUCGGGGAUGCCAAAAAAGCUACUGAAAGUUUGGUGGAGGGUAUAUCGAUACCGAUUUCAUCAGACAUGGCCGAACAGAUUUCAGGAGACCCAAUAAAUGACAACAUUCAGAAGAAUUUAUCAUCGAAUGCAGAAUCUGGAACGGAAAACGAGGUCAGGGAAUACCAUGGGGAACACCAACUGGAUUUAGCUUCGAGGACAAGAGCCGGACGUGACACGAGAAUGCCCAGCAAAUAUAGAGACAUGGUGCUAUAUCAUGUAUAUGAAUAAUUUCGGACAAUAACAACAACCAAAACACAUUAAAUAUAAAUCCAAGAAAUAUUCUAGAAAGGAACAUUGUUUUAACUUAUUUAAUCAUACCUAGUAAAUCUGUUCGUCCAUCUUUCCGUAAGAUUGCCAACCUGUAAGAUUGACCGCGACACGACUUGCUGAUCCAUGUUCCAACAUAAUAUUCCGAUGAGGAUUUUUUCUUUGCAACUCCGAGCACUGCUCACUCGAACCGAACGACAUCCUCCUCUAGGUACUGAUCAACUCCACUUGUUUGGCAACGCCUACGGUUUCAUGCACUCCUUGAAUGUCCCGUUCUCAGUAUUGAUCCCGAAUUCGCUUUAUCCGCAUUUUAGGAGUGUGAAUACACCUAUUCGUCGAAGUUGAGCACGGGCAGCCUUUAGUGACGCCAGGCGAGGCGAUGACGAUGAUUUCUUGAUGCGGUAUGGCUUUCUUUAGCAAAUCCGUUGAAAUAACUAGCCGCUGAUAACGUGCACGCCAACGGGCAUAACGCCAAAAUAGGAAAAAUGAGAAUAACCGGAAUAAACUUGAUGGUAAUCGAACAAAACGAAUAGCAAAAACGCGGCAACGGCAAAAAAUAACGAAUGGCAAAAUAACACAGUUGGGAACAAGUACAGCAACGACGGCAGCUUUUCGUAAUCAUCGAAUCAAUCAUCUGUCAUCAUUAAAAAUCAAGAAGUCGAGCGGAACAGCAGCAGUGAAACAACGAAACAAAUGUCAUAACAAUUUCUCGCGUAACAUUGUAAAGGGACCAAUAUCGAGAGGAAAGAGAAAUCAUUUUUUGAUACAAAAAAGGGUCAUUUUUUAACUUCUCGAAUUUUCUUCUUUUAAAUGAUGGCCAAGGUUGCCAGUUGUGCAGUUUACCCAUUUUUCAGAAAAUAUUAUUUAAUGGAAUUUGAGAAAAAAAAAAAGAUUCGGCGAAUGUGAGCACGCAAAAAAAAAAAAAAAAGAAAAAAAAACGAAGUGAUUAUCGAAAUGCAUCGAUGGUCCAUGUUUCAAUGCAAACUGCAAUAAUUAAUAUUAUAUAUAAGCCAUUUUUAUAAAGCUCAAAUGAAAGGAGACCUAACACAAAUAUUUACAUUUUACAAGGAACAUUUGUGAAAAUGGAAUGAAAUGAUGAUGAUGAUGACGAAAUGAUGAUGGUUAGUGACAGAAUUUUUUUUACAGAGUCAGAUUUUUCUUACACCCAAGGGGCCGUACACUUAUUACGUAAGCAAUUUUUCUGGGUUUUUCGACCCCCCCUCCCCCCAUGUAAGAUUUUUUCCCAUACAAAAGAUUUUUUAUUUAUAUGGUGCGUAAGAUAUUGACAGACCCCCCCUCCCCCCAUAAAUGCUUACGUAA
Long non-coding RNA from Armigeres subalbatus, 2203 nucleotides. RefSeq lists it as uncharacterized. The record is from RefSeq and is a predicted model, not a curated record. The transcript is spliced from 3 exons. Lineage: Eukaryota; Metazoa; Arthropoda; Insecta; Diptera; Culicidae.